This 305-nucleotide ribosomal RNA is filed under the name uncultured bacterium. Its description in RNAcentral is "partial 16S ribosomal RNA". It matches the Rfam family "Bacterial small subunit ribosomal RNA", at positions 508 to 807 of the family's 1533-position model. The record is from RNAcentral.
ACAGCAGUAGCCGCGGGAAUACGAAGGGGGCUAGCGUUGUUCGGAAUUACUGGGCGUAAAGCGCACGUAGGCGGAUAUUUAAGUCAGGGGUGAAAUCCCGCAGCUCAACUGCGGAACUGCCUUUGAUACUGGGUAUCUUGAGUAUGGAAGAGGUUAGUGGAAUUGCGAGUGUAGAGGUGAAAUUCGUAGAUAUUCGCAGGAACACCAGUGGCGAAGGCGACUGACUGGACAAGUAUUGACGCUGAGGUGCGAAAGCGUGGGGAGCAAACAGGAUUAGAUACCCGGGUAGUCCCUGUCUCUUAUAC